CAGUAGCCGCGGUAAUACGUAGGUGGCAAGCGUUGUCCGGAAUUAUUGGGCGUAAAGGGCUCGCAGGCGGUUUCUUAAGUCUGAUGUGAAAGCCCCCGGCUCAACCGGGGAGGGUCAUUGGAAACUGGGAAACUUGAGUGCAGAAGAGGAGAGUGGAAUUCCACGUGUAGCGGUGAAAUGCGUAGAGAUGUGGAGGAACACCAGUGGCGAAGGCGACUCUCUGGUCUGUAACUGACGCUGAGGAGCGAAAGCGUGGGGAGCGAACAGGAUUAGAGACCCGAGUAGUCCCUGUCUCUUAUAC
RNAcentral lists this ribosomal RNA (301 nucleotides) under uncultured bacterium. RNAcentral describes it as "partial 16S ribosomal RNA". It matches the Rfam family "Bacterial small subunit ribosomal RNA", at positions 509 to 807 of the family's 1533-position model. The record is from RNAcentral.